RNAcentral lists this ribosomal RNA (1013 nucleotides) under human gut metagenome. RNAcentral's name for it is "bacterial SSU rRNA". It matches the Rfam family "Bacterial small subunit ribosomal RNA", at positions 91 to 1107 of the family's 1533-position model. The record is from RNAcentral.
GCGACCGGCGCACGGGUGAGUAACGCGUAUGCAACCUGCCCUUCACAGGGGGAUAACCGGGAGAAAUUCCGACUAAUACCGCAUACGUCCUUUGGGGGCAUCCCCGGGGGAUGAAAGAAUUAUCGGUGAAGGAUGGGCAUGCGUGAUAUUAGGUAGUUGGCGGGGCAACGGCCCACCAAGCCUACGAUAUCUAGGGGUUCUGAGAGGAAGGUCCCCCACAUUGGUACUGAGACACGGACCAAACUCCUACGGGAGGCAGCAGUGAGGAAUAUUGGUCAAUGGACGAGAGUCUGAACCAGCCAAGUCGCGUGAAGGAAGACGGAUCUAUGGUUUGUAAACUUCUUUAGUGCGGGAACAAAGCGGCGUCGUGACGCCGGAUGAGUGUACCGCAAGAAUAAGCAUCGGCUAACUCCGUGCCAGCAGCCGCGGUAAUACGGAGGAUGCGAGCGUUAUCCGGAUUUAUUGGGUUUAAAGGGAGCGCAGGCUGCGAGGCAAGUCAGCGGUCAAAUGUCGGGGCUCAACCCCGGCCUGCCGUUGAAACUGUCCUGCUAGAGUUCGAGUGAGGUAUGCGGAAUGCGUUGUGUAGCGGUGAAAUGCAUAGAUAUGACGCAGAACUCCGAUUGCGAAGGCAGCAUACCAACUCGCGACUGACGCUGAGGCUCGAAAGCGUGGGUAUCGAACAGGAUUAGAUACCCUGGUAGUCCACGCAGUAAACGAUGAAUACUAACUGUUCGGAGGGCGACCUCUGAGUGGUAAAGCGAAAGCGUUAAGUAUUCCACCUGGGGAGUACGCCGGCAACGGUGAAACUCAAAGGAAUUGACGGGGGCCCGCACAAGCGGAGGAACAUGUGGUUUAAUUCGAUGAUACGCGAGGAACCUUACCCGGGCUCAAACGUCGGGCGAAUCAUCCUGAAAGGGGUGAGCCAGCAAUGGCGGCCGACGAGGUGCUGCAUGGUUGUCGUCAGCUCGUGCUGUGAGGUGUCGGCUUAAGUGCCAUAACGAGCGCAACCCCCG